Molecule: long non-coding RNA, 915 nt
Organism: Cariama cristata (Red-legged seriema)
Lineage: Eukaryota; Metazoa; Chordata; Aves; Cariamiformes; Cariamidae
Exons: 3
Source: RefSeq, a predicted model, not a curated record
AAAAAAGAAGAAAGAAGAAGCAGCGAGGAAAAAACAAGAGCAGGAAGCAGCAAAACUGGCAAAAAUGAAGAUUCCACCACAUGAAAUGUUUAAAGCGGAACAUGACAAAUAUUCCAUGUUUGAUGAAAAUGGAUUUCCCACCCAUGAUACAGAAGGCAAAGAACUCAGCAAAGGACAAAUUAAGAAGCUAAAGAAACUUUAUGAAACCCAAGAAAAGCUAUACAAGGAGUAUCUACAAAUGGUUCAGAAUGGAAGUGCAAAUUGAAAACAGCAGGACUUUUUUUUUAGAAGGCGAGUGCUGGGUCACCAUUGAAGAAGUGAGCAUAUACUGAUGCUCAAUUUUCUGUUUACACUUUCUAUUAUGUGCAAAGUAAAAAUCCUGUUUACGUGGAUUAAUAAUGUCAUCUGGAAAGUCAAUAAAAAUCCAUUCUUAAAAAAAGCCAACCUGUAAGAAGUUUCUUCACAACAACAGUACCAGGUUGAAUUGUUGCCAGUUCUAUCUGGGAAGGUGCUGCUCAGUCAGCAAAUCCACACACGGAUUCUUGUUUAUUAUAGCUGUCCAGGCUUUGGUUAAUUUGUCCUGCAUACUGAUCUCUAUCUAAGACUUACUGUAGCUUGCAUUCUGGAAUGUCACAGUCAGCAAAAUUUACUACUAAAUGCAAGCUGAGUAAUAUUGUCCCACAGUAAGAACAGUAUUUUCCAGAUGACCUUAGUAUCUUUACAUAAGCAGGAAAAGUGGGUAGUUCCACUAUGAUACUUACUCUAGCUGCUGUUAUUAAAAACUUUCAUAACUAUACCCAGAACACUUUGCAUAGUAGAAGCUAACAGUCCCUUUGUUGCAAAAGGGAACAGAUCAUCAUCUUUGCGCAACCUGCAAUUGCAAUCAAGUGGGUUAAGUACAAAGCAAGUGCACCU